Photinus pyralis (common eastern firefly) is the source of this 4715-nucleotide RNA transcript. RefSeq lists it as uncharacterized. NCBI's taxonomy places the organism in Eukaryota, Metazoa, Arthropoda, Insecta, Coleoptera, Lampyridae. The record is from RefSeq and is a predicted model, not a curated record. The transcript has 6 exons.
CCAUUAAAAAAAAAGUAAGUUUGAUACGCCACUGAUGGAAUACAGCACGCCACAGGUGAUUAGAAAUAUUCCAUAAAUUUGAGGAAUUAUCCGUUAAGUACUGGUAUACACUUGCCUCUCGUUUUCAAUGAGUCAAGCUUUCUUAUGCAAAUUCUCUUUAGUUUAGAUUAACAGAACCGGAAUUUUCUUGAAAUUUCUCAAUCCGUCUAUUUUGCGGGGGGUACAGCUAGAGCUACAGGUAAAGUAUUCUGUAGUAUUUCUAUUUAGAAAGAAGGAUUGAAGGAUCCCACGCUUUGAUCUCAAUGCACGAUAACCGAAGUGCAAUACGAUUUACAGCUGUGUGAAUUCUAAAUAGGAUGUAAGCAAGCAGUUAUUUAGAUAUAAUUUUCAAGGAAGGGCUUUUUCCCAAACGUGUAGUAGGUACUAUCAAAAGCCUGUGGUCCUGCGUUUUAACAUUGAAUAAAAACGCUAUUUGGUUUUAAUUUUGCAAUCAAGUUCAGACAAGCUUUGUAUAAACUUCGCACACAUGUUACCGGUUCCUAGUGUCUUCGAGCGUAUGUCUGAAUUGAUUAACAAAUCAAUGGCGCAAUCAAGGCCGCACGUACUCCUGAUUCCAAGUAGGCGAUUAUAAUAUAAUCUUUCUUGUGGUUUAGCGAAUUUUGUAUAAGAUACACCCCCUUUAAUUUAAUUAAUUUCUUAUUUACCUAUUUAUUAAUCAUUAAUGCGACUUUGGUUAAAGUAGGUAAAGCAUGACAUUCAAAUCUGGCAACACUACCCAAGGCCAAAGGUUAUAGUUAUAGCAUUGAAUAUAAACACAGUUAUAGGAGCGAGAAUUGAGAAACGCAUUUGGUCGUUUCUGUUUGUCAGUACCUUGCAAGUGCAAACGCGGCAAUGCUUUCUUCUCAUUUCACGUGAGGUGUGAAUACUGAAUAGAACGAGACAGAUGAGCUUCUGUAGCUUAACGCUAUAACGUCAAUCCGCUUAUACUGCUGUUUUGCAAUUGAGGCAGAGCGUUGAGUGGGAUUUAUCACUCAACGGGCAGAGGCAAGCAUUCGUCUCGCCCCGCAUCCGUGUGCAAGCUUUCUUUCAAUUCUUUCAUUGUUAACUAUUUACAUUUAGCAAUUAGCACAGUGUGGUCUGGCAAGUACUUAUGAUUGUUUAACGUUUAACCCCUGAUUGAAUUGAAUAUACGGUUUAAGUAUUUUAAGUGUCUGAUUUGAUAGUGCCCGUUAUCUGCCACAGUAAGAUGUACAAACCUACAAGUCGUUCAGCAAAGCAUAUAUCAAUUAAACGUAAACUAGCAUCUCUGAAGCAUGUACGCUAUGCAACAGAUCAAAAAAAGAAUAUGGAAACCUACGCUUGUACCUCGACUUCCUCGACAACUGUGUUAAAAUCUAAUGGGGAUGCUAAACAAACAAACAUUAAUAACAAACAUAUGUUCGGUACUAACAUACCCAAUUCUUUUGAUUCACAUGAUGAAUCUGUGCAUGAAAUUGAACAUCUACAACUUAACAUCUCUAGUAAUUCAAGUUCGAACAGCAAUAGUGUUUGCGACAUUGAUAACCAAAAUUUACCUAGUGACUGUAAUACACAUAUGGUUCCUUCAAUAACUACUUUACCAGAAGAACUGAAGUUUUGGUCGAUAACAGAAAAAGUUACUCAUAAACAAUUAAAUUCUUUAUUACGGAUUUUAAAAAAAUACCAUAGCGGCUUACCUUUAUGUUCAAAAACAUUAUUAAACACUAGUGAUAAUUAUGAAGUAAAAAAUAUGGCAUCCUUACGAAACACUACUGGCGAAUUUGUGUAUUUUGGAGUACACAAUUUUUUAACUAAUUUCCUUGAUAAAUUUCACCAAAUUUACCUACAGCAUGAUGAAAAAAUUGUUUACUUGCUCAUAAAUAUUGAUGGAAUACCAAUUCAAAAAAGUACUUCUAAUCAACUUUGGCCAAUCUUAGCAUCAGUUAUAUCGCCAGACUUUAAAAGUACUCCGUGGCCAAUUGCCAUAUUUUAUGGUGACAGUAAACCGUUUUCAAUAGGGGAAUUUUUGGCACAAUUCAUUAUUGAAAUGAAACACUUGACUAUUCAUGGUCUUUUACAUAAUAACACUCAGUAUUCCAUUAAAAUUAAAUCAUUUAUUUGUGAUGCUCCUGCAAGAGCUUUUAUUAAAUGCAUUAAAAGCCAUAACAGUUAUUAUGGUUGUGAACGGUGCACAAUUAGAGGUGUUUAUUUAGACAACAAAGUGGUAUUUCCUGAUUUAAAUUGUGACUUAAGAACGCACAUCUCUUUUAUAAAUAGACAUAAUAAAGAACACCAUGUUAGCACAUCUCCUUUAGUACAAUUAGAUAUUGAUCUUAUUAACGAUGUAACUUUGGAUUACAUGCAUAUGGCUUGUUUAGGGGUGAUGAAAAGACUUCUUAAUUUAUGGAUUAAAAUUCGAAGUGCAAACAGCUUAUCGCGCUGUAAAAUAAUUUUAAUUAGUAAUCUACUACAUUCUGUCAGAAAUUAUAUUCCUGUUGAAUUCCAAAGAAAACCAAGAACCUUGAAUGAGCUUGACCGUUGGAAAGCAACAGAAUUUAGAUUUUUUAUGUUGUACAUUGGACCAAUUGUUUUAAACAAUUUUUUACCUAAAAAACUGUAUAAGAAUUUCCUAUAUUAUCACUGUGCCAUACGAAUAAUAUGUUCAAAAAAGCUACUGGAAGAGUAUGGAUGUGUUGCUAUUGAUUGCAUAAAAUUUUUUUUUUGUGGUGUUAAAAAAAUUUACGGUGAACAAGAAACUUCAUAUAAUAUGCAUUCUAUUUAUCAUUUGGUACAUGAUGCAGUUACAGCAAAUAUUCCAGUUGAUCAAAUUAGUUGCUUCGUUUUUGAGUCAUUUUUAGGAAAACUUAAACACUUAAUUCGCACCCCUAAUAAACCACUAUCCCAAAUUUGUAGAAGAUUGUCUGAAAAUUUUCCAACUAUUUCGUUGUAUCGCCAAAGCAAUAACAUCAUUAAUAUAAAAAAAAAUAAAUUAGGUUUUAUAAACUUUAUUGAAUACGACAAUUUUUGUAUUAAAGCUGAUACUAGUGCAGAUUCAUAUAUAUGGUUAAAGAACAAUAAAGUAAUGCAUGUAGCAAAAAUUGAAGAAAUUGGAACAGAAUUAUUUUUUUUUGGUCAUGUUUUUCAAUCAUAUAGUAAUUUAUAUUCCAUAUAUUCAAUUACUUCCUCAAAAUUAUACACAUCCGUGGUAUCAGAUAAAAGCUCUUUUCUUUUUAAAAUAAAUGCCAAAGACUUUUUUUCCAAAUGUGUGGUUUUUAUUGUUGAAAAUAAUAUGGUUGCAGUUGCAAUGUUGCAUCACACAAAUUAAUAUACGUAUUAUUAGUAGGCACAGUGAUUUUACACUUCACCUGAAAUUAUACAUGUAUAAUAGUUAAAAUAACUAAAUCAAACAGCGAAAUUUAUUUACUUGCAUCAUAUAAGCACUUUGAUUUGGUACUUGAGUAUAGUAGGUAACUUACUAAACGCAAAUCAUAAAUGUAACUUGCUUUAGUUUUAGAUUAGGUAAGCACUGUAUUGUAUCGUAAAAAAUAAUUUUGGCACUUUCAAGUUUUCAACAUCACUAAUAAUGUGGGAUGUUAUUAUUUGGACAACUGAAAAUACGACUGAUGUUGUGCCGUCAUCCUGGGUUGUCGAUUCCGCUGUUCGAAAUAAGUAUAUGUACCCAAAGCAAAUUAAAUCCAGCAAAUUAAAAAAAAUUAUUAAAAACUGUGAGGAACCAUCCACCAAAUAUGUAUACACUGAGUUGGAUGCAGUUUUCAAAAAGACCGUCAACUCCUACGCAGAAGGUGAGAAAAUGUUACACACGCUGGAAAACACUUCUUCCCUUGACACUGACGGUACUCGAUCAUGUAUAGACAAAAGCCCAUCGCCGUGCAGUAGUGUUCAUGCACCACCAGGAGAUGGUUUUCGAGAGUCAUUGCUGCCAAUUCUAGACAAAAUAAAUGGGAAUUAUAAAUUAAUUUUAGAAGAAAUAGCUAAAAUCUCUAUAGAAUUAAAGGACCUAAGGAAUGGUCAAAAUCAUCUCCGAAUGAAGUUGUCUAAUGUUUACGAAAAACAAAGUAUACCAGAAUGGCCUCUACCGCUACCUAUAAAAACUGACGCCGACUUUAUAGACGCAGAGAAUUUGUUGCCGGAAAAACAUGACGCUCUGGUGAAAAUAAUUUCACUGGUAGGAGGGAAUUCUCUAAGACAGACAAUCUCCUUCAUGAUAAAGAGAUUGAUAUCCAAAGAUAUCGCUCUCCAAUACUCGACGAAAGGACGGAAAGGGAAAAAAAAUUUUUCGCAAACAAGGUUCUAUAACAUCAUUAUAAGUGCUGCAAGAGGUGUUUACGAGAAUGCAACUGAUUUAGCUAUAUCACAAAUGAUCGGAUUUGCAUUGGCUUCAGCUUCCGAUUGGGAGGGAGGCAACAGAAGGAAGCUGAAGCCUGUGGGAGAGGAAAGCAAGCCUGUGGGAGAGGAAAGCAGUGCAGACGGGGUUGUCGCAGAAAAUGAGGAUCAACAGGUGGAACCUAUCGAAUUAAAUUGACACAAGAAUCACAAUGUACAUGUUCUAGUUCUUAAUGGUGUUUAUGUUCAUGAUUUUUAAAUUGAAUUUGGUUUUUUAGUAUGUACUUAUAUAGUAUUUGUAAGUAGAUUUGUUUAUUAGUUUUUUUUUUAAAUAUAAUGCAGUUGGGUUUAAA